AAAAGAAAGAAAGUAAAAGAAAGAAAAAAGGAAGGAAGAAAGGCUUCUUCUUGUCUGAGCCUUCCCUACAAACUGAGAAGAGAGGCCGAGUUUUGUGUGCCCAUUUUACAGAUGAAGAGACCGAGGCUAUGCCACAGCACAGCCUGCCCAAAGUCACAGAGGAAAGCAGGAACAGAGCAAGCCGCAGUCCAAAGCCCUUGACCUGAUUCCUUGCUCAAAGACAUUUGCUUCUAGAACAGCCCCUCAGCCUGUACGCCAGGCCCGGAAGCAGAUGUUGAAGGAAACGUCUGUACUCAAAAAGCAAUGGGGUGAACCAAACUCCCCGAAGUUCCUGGAGGAGUGGUACAACAGCCGAGGAACAGCAGCAGGGCCAGUGAUGGCACCAGGCCCCUGCAUGCUGAGCAGGGCCCCUCCCUGACCACAGAUCACAGGCUCCCCAAGCAGCAGUUGUGGUCCAGAUAAAUGAGGUGAGGGGUCUGGAUGGUAGUUCCUGGCACUACCAGCAUUCCCGUGCUGGUCAGGGGCAGACCUUGUGGCCAGAGGACACUCCCCGGAGCAGGGCUGGCCAGGCAUCCCUAUGCUGCCACCCCAGGCUCUGCUCCUGCAGGGGGAAGGAUGGGUGAGGCUCGGACGCCCAGGACUUGCCCUGAGCUUGCGCCACAUAUGUCUGGGAUUGGCUGGAGAGAAUGCAUUUUUUUGUUGUUUUGUGACAGGGUCUGGAUAUAUAGUCAGGCUGGCCUUGAACUCAUGGCAAUCCUCCUGCCUCAGCCUCCUAAGGCUGCACCACUACACCAGGCAAGAACACAUUUGGGGGUGGUACUGGGGAUCAAACUCAGGCCCUUAUGCUUGCAGGGUGGGCGGCAGAACCCCUGAGCCAAAUCCCCCGCCCUUGCUCGAGGUUUUGAUUGAGCGGUCGGUUGAGCUCAGGUUUCCUGACCUGGGACCACAGCCACAUCUCUUCCUAUGCUGGAUUGGGAAAUAUUUCCAUUCUCUGACAGUGGGUCUCUAUUACUCAGGCUGGACAGCUGCAGGGAGCGGUGUCGCAGUGGUUGGACACAGUUGCGGGAAAGCUUCUGCUCCUGUGGGGGUCCACAGUGGGGUGAGCAGCUGUGUUAGCCAAUGUUCCCUGGAGAAACAACCAAUAGGAGAGAGACGAGGAGAGAUCUGUUGUCAGGUACUGGCUCACGGGAUCAUAGAGGCUGAGAAAUCCCAGACUGGCUGCUCACUGGAGGCCCAGAAGGUCAUGGUUCACCGGAAGGCCGAAGGUCAGGGAGCUGACAGCAGAGAUUCAGCCUGGGCCCCAAGGGAAGGCGGAGACCGAGGGGACCCAGGGCAGGCGGAGCCACCCCGCCCUUGGGCCCUGCACACCAGCACCAAGACUUGGGCUCCGUGGUGUCUCAAGCGCUAGGCCUGGGAGGCAGAACCUGGCGGGGUCUGUUAGAUGUGUUCCAGGCCCAGUGCGGGAAGCUGUUUUGAUUAAAUUUGGGAGCAUAAUUGCAGGGUUUGCGCUGCGGUCUCAUUAUGGCUUUUUUAAUCUUGUUAACCUCUCUCCCCAGCCCCCAGCCCCCCUCCGCCUCCCUCCACAACCACAGGCUGGGGCCUUAGAACAAUACCGGGAAUAUUUUCCGUCUCUCCGUCACAGCUUUCUCCUCCCCUAGGUUGGAUCCCUGAGGCAGGAUGAAGAGAAGGUAGGAAGAACAAAGGCAGGAUGGGCGCGCAGGGGAUCUAACGUGGUCUGCUCACCCGUGUGGCCUCUGGGUUCAGUUCCCACACGUCCAGCGGGGACCCAAGGAGGUACUGGGCCCAGCUCUAGCCCAGGCGCUCGGUAAAUGAGGCUCCCGGGCCCCAUUCUCUGGGAAAAUGGUAAAGUCGGGUUGAAUAAUAACACGGUGAGUGGAGACGAGGCUCCAGGAGUCUGAGGCAGCAGAGAAGCAGGUAGCGUGGGAGGGCUGGGAAGGGCAGAGGUGCCGGGCAGGCUAGGAGGGAGCAGAGUACAACGUGGGCUUGGCAUUAGUCAGGAUGGCCCCGCUUUGCUGCGGUAACAGACAAGCCCACAGUGGCUGUGUGCAGUAACGGGCGACUUCCUGUACAGUCUCCCUGCUCCAUACUCUUCUCUGACUUGAUACUGGCUCUUCAACGUCCUUCAUCAGAAGGUGUCUGUCAUCUCCUCCCAGCCCCCAGCUCCUAAAGGUACUUGUGAAUGCACCAUUAAGUGCUCUGUGGCCCUGAGCUUGUGCCCUAACUCCCUCCAGGGGUGUGUGUGUGUGGGGGUCAAAUGUCACCCCUUUCAGGAAACCCCUGGUGUCUCACAGCUAAAGCAAUCUCCCCAUCCCUUGGAGUCCUUUGCAAGAGCGCCCACUUUCGAGCUUACGGGGCCAGGAGUGUAUGCCCACGUGUCCUCUGCCUUCUCAGCCUCAAGCCCUCCUGAGAGACCCAUCCCAGUCAUAUCCUGUCCUGCCCACUCCGCGGUGGCAUGAGAUGGCCCCAGACUUGACCCAAACAUGGCUGAGCUAGUAAGUGGGUGAAACGUAGGGCUGGAGCUGGCAGGGAGGGACCAGGGGGUGCCUAGGGCAGAGCCUAGGAGUCAGAGCUGGGUUUGAACUCUUCCUAGACCUGGGCAGCCUUCCUGGGCAGGGGCAGAGCAGGCCAGAGGAGGACAGGAGGAGGAAAUCCUGGCAGGCGCUCAGAUGGUGGGAGGGAAGCCAUGUGUGGGCAGCCAUCCCCGUGGGGUAGGAGCUGGGCCAGGUAUGGGAAAGGCUCUCCCUCCCUCCCAGGGCUGUGUCUCAGGAGCCACACUGGGACACACUAGCUGGGUUGUCACUGAACGGCCAAGGGCUGCCCCUCCACCACCUCACUCUGUGCCUGAUGCUCCUGCCAUCUUGGGGCAGGGCCACUGUGUGUCACCAGGCUUUGCCUGCUCCCGAGAGCCCUCCUCCUCUGGCCUCAGCCUGGCCACCCCUACCUGCCUGGUGCCCCCACCCCCGCACAGCCUUCCUUCCAGGACGUCCCCAGACCUGUCCAUCCGUGCCGAGACCUGGCCGGCUCACAGAUCCACCUGUCACCUUUUCUGCUUUCUCUGCGGGGCUCCGAGAAGCCAGCCCUGAUGUUUUCUCCGCCCUUGAGCUGGUGGGAUGAGCCCUGAAGGGGGCCUCUUUGAGGCCUGGCAGCCAAUUUCCUCCCAGGUGUUCUGGAAGGAGAACAUUUUCAGUGCCCAGUUCAUGUCACAGAGGACAAGAACAAGUGAUCAACUAUGUUAAAGGAGACUCACAGGGACUUUAGUUCUUAGAGGGGGAAAUGGAAGCUUGGAGAGGCCAGGCCCUGGGCCGUCCCAGUAGUCGGUGGCCUUCAGCCCUGUGCGCUCUUCCUCCUGUGUGGUGCUGCGCCUGUGUGACUUGCAGGUCACGUGAGCUCCCUCCUCCACCGCAUGGUAGGUUGCAUUCAAGUUCAAAGCCGCCCCUGUCCUGGUCGCGGUCGUCAUUUCCCCACCACCGCUGUGGCCGGGACGCAGGGCGGGGCUCCUGGUGCUCACACAGGCUCCUCCAAGCCCAGGCUGCGGCCCUGGGCACAGCUGCUUCUCAGAAGCGGUGCACUGUGGGUGGGGGGACCAGCGCCAUUGGGCCGAUGGGAGUUUCUGGACCGGCUGCUGAGACCUGCCUGACAAAGCCCGAGGACACGGGGAGGGGCUGCUGCCUCCCCAGAACCACCCUGCUCCCCUUUAGGGCUGUGUUCUCAGCUGAUGACAACUGAGUUCGACGGGAGCCUGACAGAGUGAGUAAUUAGACACUAAUUAAUUUGCAUUUCACAGGGGAGUCGGGUGUUAGGGGGAAAAGCUGCAAAGAUGAAAGCCCUCUUCCAGGGCUAUCUGCGACGAGACACAGCCCCGAGUCAAGGAGGGAAAGGCAGGUGAACGGGGCAGGCUGUGGGCGUGGACACAGCCAGGCCAAGGCAGAAAGCCCUAGGGUCCCUGUGGCAUGGAGAGGUAUUUGGAGUGGAGGAGGGAGAGAAACAGAGAUGUGACAUGUCCACAUUCCUAGAGCGGCAUUGGCGAACUUUCACUGCAAAGGGCCGCCUCAUAAAUAUUUUCAGCUUUGCAGGACAUGGUAGUUGGUAGUCAACGUAUUCUCUGUAAAAGAUGCCAACGUCUUCUUAGGCUGAUGGCCAAACAAGUUACAGCUGGCCUCUACCUCUGGUCGCCAAAUGACCUGUAGGGCCCAAGGUAAAUUCUGCAUUUCUAACAAGGAUCGGGGUGAUUCUGGAACCCACUUUGAAUUUGGAGGGUCAGGGCCUCGGCAGAAGGUGGGGCUGCUGGCACAGGUCAUCUGGGCAUAGUGAGGCCUGCACGAGAGAUGAACCUCUCAUUUGCAUGGCGACACGAGGGCCCCAGGCUUCCCAGCAACCCCCCCACCACAAGAAACAAAGGUAGAAAGGAACUGAGGAAAAGCAGGAUUUUACAAUUGCACUUUUAAGAAAGCUGGAGUUUCCGGACACCCUCAAAGUUACCCAAGGUUACAAUGUUUUUUUUUUUUCCCUUCCGGGCCACUCACUUCUAAAUUCCUAAAUCGUACAGAUAUAAUAGGCCGAGCCCGGGCCUUUCUCCUGUAAAACAGACCUUUCACCUGUGAAUGGGCCGUCACCUUUCACCUGUAGAUUGAGGCUGAGCUUUCUAUAGAUUCACAAACUAUGCAGAUUUCUGCAGGAUUCUAUCCCAGCACUUAGACGCACCCUGCUGCGGCUGCAUCUGAGGCCUCCUGCUCCCUCUUCGAGGACAGAAAGGUGCCUUCUCACAAUCUUGCAGGCCACACGUCUGGAGUCAGUGCUACCGCUGAAAUCAGCAUCCAGCUCCCGGGAGAGUCCGCUUCUACGUGUCCCAGCCACUGCCAGCACCAGUCCUGUCUUCAAGACAGCGUCCUCAAACCCCUCUGAGUCCAGAAGUCAGGUCUCCCUCCACCUGUCCCUUCCUAGGACACUUGUGGCAUUUAGGACCCACCCUGACAGACCAGGAGAACCUGACCCUCCCAAAGUCCUGAACCCCGCCACGCCUGCAGAGUCUGGUUUUCCACUUAUCCUCCCCCAAUUCCUUCCAGUCUGUACUGAUUAAACACCCAGCUCUGCCCACACUGCAGCUUUCAGUUAGAAUGACCCCUGCCGCUCACGUCAGCUGAGCACAUACCCCUGCACAGUCCUUAAUGCACUGCGUCAUGUGUCCCUGCCCAGAGGCCAGCGCUGUGCCAAUCCUCCUUGCACAGCUAAGGAAACGAGGGCCGGGGGGAGUGAAGUAAUUUGCCUGCUGUCCUCAGAUGUGCAGCUGGGAUUCCUGCCUCAUGUCUGACUGAAACCUCAUCACUGGCUACCAUGGAUUGCCUCCCGGUGUAAACCGGGCUGCUCCAUGAAGCUGUUUACAAAGUUCGGUCCCGUUUGAACUUCUAAGCGAGUCUCUUAUCAGAUCCCACAAACUGCAGACAUAACACAGGAAGGGCUGUUCUAGAAAGCUGAAAAUCCAAUUACAACAGCCCAGGGAAUGCAGUACUUUGGAGAUGCAUUUGUGACCUCUGCCAAGAAGCAGGAUCCCCGAGGGAGAGGGGAGGCCCGGGCUCCGCCUGGCCCUUUGACAGCGCACCUCGAGGCCUUGUUAUUGUUCAUCCUGCUCCGAACUGUUGGGACUUAAGAGAUGGGUCCUGCUCUUGCUGGAUUUACGGACUGAACUCCUUGGUGAAGGUGGCUGGCCUUUGGAGAACAGGUCUAUCAAGAGAGGAGUAGAAUUUAAGAAGCAAAUGGGGCCAGCUCGCCUGCCUGGGGAGUGCAGGGAGGGAGCAGCCUGGACGCUCCCCUUCCCGGGUGCAGAGAUGCCCAGAGCACAGGUUCCCCGGGCAGCCGGGGUGGGCAGUGUUCACCCUGCGGUGCCCAGCACAGCAGAGGGCAAAUGGUAGGAGGGCACGCUGGAGGGAGGCGGUGCUGGCCACAGGGCACAGGGGUGCUGGGCAGGCCACACCAAGAGCCAGAAGUCAUUCCUCAAGGCUGUGAGCACCCCUGCAAGAUCUUAUGCAGGAAAGAGACGUUUGUGUGUGCCACAGAAAGGUUUCUCUGGCUGUGGCCGUGGAGGGCUUGGACUCAUGGGAAUCAGGAGGAAGGACUGGGUUCUGUCCCUUUUCUUUCCGUUUUUCUCUCUUCCCUUCUCCUCUCCCUUCCUCCUCCUUACCAUCCUCUGCAUCCCGCACCCUGCCACCUGGUAACCACCCUUCUGCUCUGUUUUGUUUUUUUAAAAAAAUCAAUCCUUUUUAUUUGUUUCAGCAGAAGAGCGAGGACACACAGCAUUUGUUUUUAUGCCUUGGUGUAGUGUCCUCUGGGCUCUGGCAUGUCACAACGACAGAAAAUGCUUUUGGAGGCUGCGUAGUAUUCCACGGUGUGUGUACACAUUGUCUAUUGAGUGACAUUAACGCUGAUUUCAUAUGUUGGUUAUUUUGGAUAAAGCUCCAAUCAACAUGGGAGUGCAGAUGUCAUUUUGACAUACAGAUUUCAUUUCCUUUGGGUGGAUUCUCAGAA
Fukomys damarensis (Damara mole-rat) is the source of this 6540-nucleotide long non-coding RNA. RefSeq lists it as uncharacterized. The record is from RefSeq and is a predicted model, not a curated record. Lineage: Eukaryota; Metazoa; Chordata; Mammalia; Rodentia; Bathyergidae. The transcript has 3 exons.